This 331-nucleotide transfer-messenger RNA is filed under the name bovine gut metagenome. RNAcentral describes it as "Alphaproteobacteria transfer-messenger RNA". It matches the Rfam family "Alphaproteobacteria transfer-messenger RNA". From Rfam's summary of the family: Bacterial tmRNA, also known as 10Sa RNA or SsrA, is named for its dual tRNA and mRNA-like properties. Its role is to liberate the mRNA from a stalled ribosome. To accomplish this part of the tmRNA is used as a reading frame that ends in a translation stop signal. The record is from RNAcentral.
CAACCCCAAUAUGCUUUAUAUUAAUAAAUGCCGAGCAAUCGGCUAUGACACUAGAGGCACUGCGAAAUAGAAAUUUCGGACCCGGGGGCAGUACCCGGCACCUCCACCAAAAAAAUCAUCGGGGGUGAAACAGGUUAGACGGGGUUUAAUAAAGGCUGUUGUUGUGUUCGGUGAGAUACCACCGUUAUCGGUUCAACUUAAAAUAAAUGCUAACGAUAAUGAAUUAGCACCAGUUGCUUUGGCUGCUUAAUUGUAGUCGCAACGAAUCCAAAUUCCUGUUGUCUUGGUUGACGACAGGUGGGGAACGAGCCUCCUAGCAACAGAACGGCUC